Molecule: non-coding RNA, 684 nt
Organism: Manis javanica (Malayan pangolin)
Lineage: Eukaryota; Metazoa; Chordata; Mammalia; Pholidota; Manidae
Source: RefSeq, a predicted model, not a curated record
CAGCAUGACAUAUUUUGUAAGCUGCAGAAAGUUCAUCUACUAAACACAGGCAGAAAUGAAAUGACUAAUUCUGGUAAAUGAAAACUUAAAGAGCUUUAAGGUUCCACGUGUGAAAAUUACAGCUUGAAGAUCACAGAAGGCUCCAAAUGAAAACCCACAAGCUCACAUUACUUAUAAUUGUUGGACAACACAAUAUGGACCAGAUGGCUUCAUUAUUCUGUGUUUCCCAUUUUGAAUUUUAAAUGUUGUGUUGGACUGCCUGUCAGUGGCCAGCUGCGUCCUAGAGGAGAGGAUGCAGCCAGACCACAGUUCAAAGAUCCCAGGCCAGGCACCAUGGACAUAUUGCUGUCCAGUUAUUGUGUGCAUAUGUGCAUGAACUUCUCUAGGAUAGAUACCUGGGAGGAAAAAAAACUGGGUGAUGGGGAUUAUCUUCAACUUUACAAGGUUCCCAUUCCCUUACCAGAGUUUCAUAGGAUCACCUCCUAAAUCACCAGGAACCCCACCUGAGGCAAAGGCAAGAAAAGUAACAGAAAGUUGAAGACCUAAAGCAUGUCAGUGGUUGAAACUGGACUUCAGCAUGUAGAAACCAGUUCACUCUGUUCAUCACCAUUUGGCCUUCACUUUGGCAUCAGAGACCUGUGGAAAGUCACUUCCUUUUCUGAGCCUCACUUUUUCUAGUGUCUA